Non-coding RNA from Acanthosepion pharaonis, 92 nucleotides. Lineage: Eukaryota; Metazoa; Mollusca; Cephalopoda; Sepiida; Sepiidae. The record is from the annotation of a GenBank genome assembly.
UAAAACACCGGUUCUCUUCAGAUCACCGACGUUAAGCAAUGCUGAGCUGGAUCAGUACUCAGAUGGGUGACCGCUGGGGAAUACCAGGUACU